UGUACUGUACUGUCUGUACUGUACUGUACUGCCUGUACUGUACUGUACUGUCUGUACUGUACUUUACUGUACUGUACUGUACUGCACUGCCUGUACUGUCUGUACUGUACUGUACUGUACUGUACUGUACUGCACUGUACUGUACUGUACUGUACUGUACUGUACUGCCUGUACUGUGGGGCCAUAGUACAGGCAGUACAGACCCACUUCAUGCACUGUUUGCAAAGUUGUAGAAGAACUGGAUGUGAGUGUGGGUUAGCCAUUGUUAGCUCUACAUGAGAUUUGACACAAAAGUGCAGCAACAUGUCUGCGGUUGGUAGCAGCCAUCUUGGAAUCCCAUCCCAUCCCCAUCAGGGUUAUAAAUCUAAGUUAUUUUUAUGAUUGUUGUAAUUAUUAGUGGAGGUAUGGAGUGCACCAUUCUUCUGCAUAUUUGUUAUCAGAAGAAAUCUAUAUUAUAUUAUUAUCAUUAUAAUAAUAAUAAUAUCAAUAUGAAUGAAGUCCGUUCUGUGACAUCCUUGUUUAGCACAAUAUAAACAUUUGCAUUUUUUUAGCUUGUUACCAAAUGAAUGGAAAAUAAAGGUUGUUUAUAAAAAUGUGGUUGGCGUUAACGUUGAUAAUGACAGAGAUUUAUUAACCAUUGAACAGAGAAGGGUCUAGCUGCAGACCCGCAGACCACUCAACGACACACCCCUCCACUCAACGACACACCCCUCCACUCAACGACACACCCCUCCACUCAACGAAACACCCCUUUACUCAACGAAACACCCCCUUACACUCAACGAAACACCCCUUUACUCAACGAAACACCCCUUUACUCAACGAAACACCCCUUUACUCAACGAAACACCCCCUUACACUCAACGAAACACCCCUUUACUCAACGAAACACCCCUUUACUCAACGAAACACCCCCUUACACUCAACGAAACACCCCUUUACUCAACGAAACACCCCCUUUACUCAACGAAACACCCCCUUACACUCAACAAAACACCCCUUUACUCAACGAAUCACCCCCUCACACUACACGACACUCUGAUUGGCUCUCAAGAGACUGCGUCUGAAACGUGAUGACGUUUACGUUGACCGAGUAUGAAGAGAGAACCCGAAAAAGUAACACGGGAAAAUGACGGAGGAAAAGAGCAACACUACGUUCAGUGAAGGAGCAGACCCUGAGCUGAGAAGAUGCGACUCGGACACUGAUCUGCACAAAAAAGGGGAGCUAUGCAAAGCUUGUGGCUCAUCUGCAGGGACACCAAAGGUCAAUGGUGGAGCACGGUGGUAAGUCCUAAAUUAUCAGUGGGGAGAGCUGUGGCGAUUUUACAAGCCACAAACAAAGAUACAUAUCCAGACCACAACUCCAUACUUCACGGGUACCUUCAUUAUGAAGCUCUAUCAGCACAUGAGUAUUCAUUCUCUUGUGUUAAUUGUGGAAACCAUCCUCCUGUUGUCAUCAUGGAUUUGCAUAAGAAGGGAGUCUUCAGCAUGCCAAGUAAGUCGUUAUUCCUCACAGGAGGUCUUCAGGGACAGAGUACACUGUCAAAUGUUUUUCUUCCAGUGAGUGACCUUAAAGAGCCCCCAUCUGACUUUAAUGGCGAGGUUGACAUAGAAGACUUUUGGCAUUCUGUCAGCCAGGAAAUUCUUUGCAGAGGCUUUGUGAAGAGCAAUGCUGUGAACCCGUGUGUGGUAUCUCCAUCUUAUCACAAAUGGGCACCAUGGAUAGGUCCUCAGACCAGAGCCAGCAAUAUGGUAUUUAACACUGAGUACAAGAAGGUCAAAGGCAGUAAAGGAUCCAACCCACUAGAGCAGGCAGAGGUGGAUAUGACAGAGGACAGAUUGACAAAUGAAGUAAUGAACUUAAAGGUUCAUUUACUGCGGACUUUAGUAAAAGAGUGUGGCCUUGAUUCUUCUGGAUCAAAAAUGGAUCUUGUCAUCCGCUUGAGAGAACAGAUGAAAAGCCGCAGUACCUAUGACAAGGUGUUUCAGAAGGUCUGGGGUGCAUCAGGGGGCUGGGCUGUGAUAAUGUGUCCCUGUGGUGUUGUGAGUUCAGUGAAGUUCAACAUCCGAGCAGAAAGUCCACGGGAUUAUGCAGACAUGCUGCUCUCCUUCAAACACCUGCCAUGUGGUCAUUUAUGACUUUGCCAGAGGUUUGGUGGCCCACACCAACUUGCGGGAGCCAGAAAAAAUACCGUUCAGGCCAAAUGAAGGCAGGCUGGCAGAGGCCUCACCUGAAAAUCUCGACUCAGCCAACAAGGGUAAAAAUGGAAAUAAACCUGCCCUGGCUAAAAUGGCGGAAGGAGCCUGCGGACAUAAAUGCACACCCAAGCACAGGAUCUGCAGAUCACUAUGCACUAUAUGACACAUUUCAUGAGGCAAAUACAAAGGACCCUAAAGACUGCCUCAGAAAAAUUGGUCUUGUCCCAGAACUCCGUGGAUGGGUGAAUUCCCAAACAGCAGAACAAUUUUUCUCCAAAAUGAGGAAAAACUAUUAUUUUCUGAACAUGAUAUCCCCAGGAAGCCAUGUCUUUCUCAUGCGAUGUAUUAUUCAUCAUCAUAAUACCAUGAUAAAUGAGAAGACACUGACAGGUCUUCAGAAAAUAUCAACAGAUGGCAUCGCUACUGAUAGUGCUGGAAAGGCUGUAAUGGCAUCUGCACUGUUUUCAAGUAGCACUUCAGCGACAGCACACUCCGAAGGGACAACAGAACAUGGACCAGUGUUCAGAGGAGUGUGAGACUUUAACAGUGGUGUCAGCACUCAAGCCCUGCAGAGACUCAUGGACAAUAAAAGUUUGCCUGGUAUUUUGCAAUGGAGGCUAGUUUUGACUUCAACGUUUAUGACAUGUCUUCACUGAGGCGGUGGUGGUGCAUUGUCCUGGUGGAAAACCUUGGGCUGCAGGGUUAUGGGAGGAAGUUUGCUCACUUCACCAAGGAAGGCCGAGCAACACUCCAUGACAACCCAGCCCCUGUCCUCAGGAUCAGCACUCAAGCUGCACUGUGGUCCCAUCAGACACUGAGGACCGUCUGCAUCUUGCUGUACAAGACUUGGAAAGGGCCCAACAAGCCCAACAGAAGCGACGCGAGGCAUGUUGUCUGUUAACCAGUGUAAUCACAGAGGAUCAGGGCAUGCUGCAACACCUUAAAAACAUCAUCACAGGCAACACGGUGUCUCCUUGGGCCAAGAAACAGGACAGGGUCAUCCUUCUUUUUGAAGAUGAUGAACAAGUGGACAAAGUCAUGCACUUCUUGUCUGAAGUACUCGAACGUACUGAGACAGACAAGAAGUCUGCAGAUCCAGUGGCAUUCGUAAUGGAUGUACUUUUGCCAGAGGCAACAGUAUACGCCCUCGGAGCUGUUCACUCCAUCUCCCUGGACAAAGCCAAGGAGAUGUACAUGCGUGGCACAGAGUUUGACUCAAGCGAGAUAACCCAGCUUGGGGAACAGCUUCAGAGCCACAUUUCCUCAAAAGCGAGGCAGAAACUGGAUAGCUUCCUGAGCAGUUACAAGAAAGCCUUGGAGUGUGAGGAAUUCCUCAGGCGCCUGUAAUCCCUGGGUAGUGAAUGUGUCUGCUGGAUAGUCUGUUGUGUAUAAAAUAAAGAAAAUAUAUCAUUCA
Molecule: RNA transcript, 3613 nt
Organism: Solea solea (common sole)
Lineage: Eukaryota; Metazoa; Chordata; Actinopteri; Pleuronectiformes; Soleidae
Gene name: PWWP domain-containing DNA repair factor 3A-like
Exons: 15
Source: RefSeq, a predicted model, not a curated record